AGAAAUAGCACCCCUGGAAGCCUGCCGGCGAAAAUGGCAUCUUUCCAUCUCUUCACUAUUGUACUUGAAAUCGAUCAGCCAGAACCAGCCAGUUAGCCCAGUUCGAUCGAUCUAAUUAGAUAGACGUACAAAAACUAUUGGUCUGCAUGGUGAUCUGUGGGGACUGGGAUUCUUCACGGGCCUUCGUCUUUUUCAGUGUUCUUGCUUUAGCUAGUUGCAGGUCUGAGGGCAUCCUUGUCUCCGGUCUCCACUCUCCACUCUCCAUGCAUAUAUUUAUAUUUAUAUUUAUAUAGAUAGAUAGAUGGAUUUGUCAUCAAUGGUGUGUACGUACAUUGAUUCUUCUUCUGAAGAUCCUCCUCUUGUUCUUAAUUAACUAAGCGACCUGGUUUUGGAUUUUAGGUCGAUCUGCACUGGAGUUUAAUCCUCCAACACUUCCAACUUGGCAAAACAUAAAAUAUCAGGAGAAUCAAUUACAUCUAUUACUAUUAUAUAUUUUAGUGCGUCUUUCUUCAACGUGCCAAAGUGUGCCGAACUGAUCUAGUCCAUCGUUGUUUAAUUCAACAGUUUUUUUAUUACCACUCACUUUACCUAUGUAUUGAACUACGUACGUCUCUUGCACGUAUCUCGAGAAAAAAACCAUGUCUACGAACUAAACCCUAAAUAUAGCAGAG
This 671-nucleotide long non-coding RNA is filed under the name Zostera marina. RNAcentral describes it as "long non-coding RNA (ZMAR_LNC000801)". Lineage: Eukaryota; Viridiplantae; Streptophyta; Magnoliopsida; Alismatales; Zosteraceae. The record is from RNAcentral.